UGCACAUGCAGUUCGAGCGGCAGCACGGGUACUUUGUACCUGGUGGCGAGCGGCGGACGGGUGAGUAAUGCCUAGGAAUCCUGCCUGGUAGUGGGGGAUAACGCUCGGAAACGGACGCUAAUACCGCAUACGUCCUACGGGAGAAAGCAGGGGACCUUCGGGCCUUGCGCUAUCAGAUGAGCCUAGGUCGGAUUAGCUAGUUGGUGAGGUAAUGGCUCACCAAGGCGACGAUCCGUAACUGGUCUGAGAGGAUGAUCAGUCACACUGGAACUGAGACACGGUCCAGACUCCUACGGGAGGCAGCAGUGGGGAAUAUUGGACAAUGGGCGAAAGCCUGAUCCAGCCAUGCCGCGUGUGUGAAGAAGGUCUUCGGAUUGUAAAGCACUUUAAGUUGGGAGGAAGGGCAGUUACCUAAUACGUAUCUGUUUUGACGUUACCGACAGAAUAAGCACCGGCUAACUCUGUGCCAGCAGCCGCGGUAAUACAGAGGGUGCAAGCGUUAAUCGGAAUUACUGGGCGUAAAGCGCGCGUAGGUGGUUUGUUAAGUUGGAUGUGAAAUCCCCGGGCUCAACCUGGGAACUGCAUUCAAAACUGACAAGCUAGAGUAUGGUAGAAGGGGGGGGGGAAUUUCCUGGGGUAGCGGUGAAAUGCGUAGAUUUAGGAAGGAACACCAGUGGCGAAGGCGACCACCUGGACUGAUACUGACACUGAGGUGCGAAAGCGUGGGGAGCAAACAGGAUUAGAUACCCUGGUAGUCCACGCCGUAAACGAUGUCAACUAGCCCUUUGGGAGCCUUGAGCUCUUAGUGGCGCAGCUUACGCAUUAAGUUGACCGCCUGGGGAGUACGGCCGCAAGUUAAUCAAAAUUUUUUUUUGGGGGGGGGGGGAAAAAAGGGGGCGGAAAAGGGGAGGGGAGAAGGGAGGAG
RNAcentral lists this ribosomal RNA (925 nucleotides) under Pseudomonas sp. RNAcentral's name for it is "partial 16S ribosomal RNA". It matches the Rfam family "Bacterial small subunit ribosomal RNA". The record is from RNAcentral. Lineage: Bacteria; Pseudomonadati; Pseudomonadota; Gammaproteobacteria; Pseudomonadales; Pseudomonadaceae.